CAAUAGCGUAUAUUAAAGUUGUUGCGGUUAAAAAGCUCGUAGUUGGAUUUCUGCUGAGAACGACCGGUCCGCCCUCUGGGUGUGUAUCUGGCUCUUUCUUGGCAUCUUCUUGGUGAACGUUGCUGCACUUGACUGUGUGGAGCGCUACCCAGGACUUUUACUUUGAGGAAAUUAGAGUGUUUCAAGCAGGCAUACGCCUUGAAUACAUUAGCAUGGAAUAAUAAGAUAGGACCUCGGUUCUAUUUUGUUGGUUUCUAGAGCUGAGGUAAUGAUUAAUAGGGAUAGUUGGGGGCAUUCGUAUUUAACUGUCAGAGGUGAAAUUCUUGGAUUUUCGGAAGACGCACGACUGCGAAAGCAUUUACCAAGGAUGUUUUCAUUAA
This 380-nucleotide ribosomal RNA is filed under the name uncultured eukaryote. Its description in RNAcentral is "partial 18S ribosomal RNA". It matches the Rfam family "Eukaryotic small subunit ribosomal RNA", at positions 592 to 976 of the family's 1831-position model. The record is from RNAcentral.